RNAcentral lists this ribosomal RNA (253 nucleotides) under uncultured bacterium. Its description in RNAcentral is "partial 16S ribosomal RNA". It matches the Rfam family "Bacterial small subunit ribosomal RNA", at positions 524 to 776 of the family's 1533-position model. The record is from RNAcentral.
UACGAAGGAGGCUAGCGUUGCUCGGAAUUACUGGGCGUAAAGGGCGUGUAGGCGGUGCGUCUAGUCGGAUGUGAAAGGCCCGGGCUUAACCCCUGAAAGGCAUUGGAUACUGGCGUGCUUGAGUCCGGGAGAGGGUAGUGGAAUUCCCAGUGUAGAGGUGAAAUGCGUAGAUAUUGGGAAGAACACCAGUGGCGAAGGCGGCUAUCUGGGCCUGUACUGACCCUAAGGCGCGAUAGCGUGGGGAGCAAAAAGG